CCAGUAACCAGCAGGUAGUCUAGUGGUUAGAGCGUUGGGUCAGUAACCAGCAGGUAGUCUAGUGGUUAGAGCGUUGGGUCAGUAACCAGCAGGUAGCCUAGUGGUUAGAGCGUUGGGCCAGUAACCAGC
Oncorhynchus keta (chum salmon) is the source of this 129-nucleotide long non-coding RNA. RefSeq lists it as uncharacterized. The record is from RefSeq and is a predicted model, not a curated record. The transcript is spliced from 3 exons. Lineage: Eukaryota; Metazoa; Chordata; Actinopteri; Salmoniformes; Salmonidae.